This 508-nucleotide long non-coding RNA is filed under the name Cervus hanglu yarkandensis (Yarkand deer). RNAcentral describes it as "lncRNA (ENSCHYG00000022015.1)". The record is from RNAcentral. Lineage: Eukaryota; Metazoa; Chordata; Mammalia; Artiodactyla; Cervidae.
GAGGCCUUGUACGGCAGCAACUGCGAGAUGGAUGGCACAGAAGCGACUUGGGCAGAUCAGCGGCCAGCGCCAUCCGCCAUGGCCGACAGCAGCCUCAAGCUAGCAGCCUGGCAGCUUGGCCCCUGGCCAGCCUCAAGCUGGCAGCCUGGCCCCUGACGUGUCUCACAGGGACAAAGGUGCAUCUUAUGCUGUGGAGCCUGGGGAUCCCAGGCCAGCUGAGCUGCCCAUGGCUGCCCAGCUGGGAGGACCCCCAUGUGGUGUCGAACGGAGCAUGCGCACAAGAAGCCCGCCCACAGCCAUCUGGGGGAUUCUGCAAAAUGGAGGUGCAAGGCCCGGGCAGGCCAGAGGACAUGGCUGAGGAGGACACGAGGGACCAUAAGGUCUGCCAAGAAAAACACCAGCACUACAUAAGCCUUUGCCUGCAGGGUGUGUCCUAGGGAAGAAUGGUCCCAGAGAAUGAUUCUUCAGUGACUGAGUUUAUCCUGCUGGGUUUAACACAGAAGCCAGA